Molecule: non-coding RNA, 443 nt
Organism: Oreochromis aureus
Lineage: Eukaryota; Metazoa; Chordata; Actinopteri; Cichliformes; Cichlidae
Source: the annotation of a RefSeq genome assembly
UUCACUUCACUUUCCUCUUAAACCUCAGUCAGUCGAAUCCCAGUAAUUAAAAAGUAAACUCUAAAACAAAUCAAAGGAAUAUAAAGAUGAUUCCCUUUCUUGUCUUCUGGUGUCUGACAGGUGUCUGUGUGGGUAUUGAGGUCCGCCAGACUCCCUCUGGGGUCAUCACUGAUGUCAGAUCCAAAGUGGAGAUUUUUUGCAGUCAUGACAAGACUAACUACAGAGUGAUGCUGUGGUACCAGCAGCUGCCUGGAGACACAGCUAUGAAACUCAUUGGGUAUUUGUACUACAAAGCGGUCACAUUUGAAGAACAAUAUAAAGAUCAUUUCAAUAUCACUGGAGAUUUGGGUGGGAAUACAGCAAAGAACGGCUCUCUGAUAGUCAAAGGUGCAGAACAAGAGCACAGUGCAGUGUACUACUGUGCAGCUAGAGAAGCACAGUGA